CCUACGGGAGGCAGCAGUGGGGAAUAUUGGACAAUGGGCGCAAGCCUGAUCCAGCCAUACCGCGUGGGUGAAGAAGGCCUUCGGGUUGUAAAGCCCUUUUGUUGGGAAAGAAAUCCAGCCGGCUAAUACCUGGUUGGGAUGACGGUACCCAAAGAAUAAGCACCGGCUAACUUCGUGCCAGCAGCCGCGGUAAUACGAAGGGUGCAAGCGUUACUCGGAAUUACUGGGCGUAAAGCGUGCGUAGGUGGUUGUUUAAGUCUGUUGUGAAAGCCCUGGGCUCAACCUGGGAACUGCAGUGGAAACUGGACAACUAGAGUGUGGUAGAGGGUAGCGGAAUUCCCGGUGUAGCAGUGAAAUGCGUAGAGAUCGGGAGGAACAUCCAUGGCGAAGGCAGCUACCUGGACCAACACUGACACUGAGGCACGAAAGCGUGGGGAGCAAACAGGAUUAGAUACCCUGGUAGUCCACGCCCUAAACGAUGCGAACUGGAUGUUGGGUGCAAUUUGGCACGCAGUAUCGAAGCUAACGCGUUAAGUUCGCCGCCUGGGGAGUACGGUCGCAAGACUGAAACUCAAAUGAAUUGACGG
RNAcentral lists this ribosomal RNA (587 nucleotides) under uncultured Stenotrophomonas sp. RNAcentral describes it as "bacterial SSU rRNA". It matches the Rfam family "Bacterial small subunit ribosomal RNA", at positions 338 to 916 of the family's 1533-position model. The record is from RNAcentral. Lineage: Bacteria; Pseudomonadati; Pseudomonadota; Gammaproteobacteria; Lysobacterales; Lysobacteraceae.